GAUGAACGCUGGCGGCGUGCCUAAUACAUGCAAGUAGAACGCUGAAGGAAGGAGCUUGCUCUUUCCGGAUGAGUUGCGAACGGGUGAGUAACGCGUAGGUAACCUGCCUGGUAGCGGGGGAUAACUAUUGGAAACGAUAGCUAAUACCGCAUAACAGUAGAUGUUGCAUGAUAUCUACUUAAAAGGUGCAAUUGCACCACUACCAGAUGGACCUGCGUUGUAUUAGCUAGUUGGUGAGGUAACGGCUCACCAAGGCGACGAUACAUAGCCGACCUGAGAGGGGGAUCGGCCACACUGGGACUGGGACACGGCCCAGACUCCUACGGGAGGCAGCAGUAGGGGAUCUUCGGCAAUGGACGGAAGUCUGACCGGGCAACGCCGCGUGAGUGAAGAAGGUUGUCGGAUCGUAAAGGUCUGUUGUAAGAGAAGAACGGGUGUGAGGGUGGAAAGUUCACACUGUGACGGUAUCUUACCAGAAAGGGACGGCUAACUACGUG
Molecule: ribosomal RNA, 497 nt
Filed under: uncultured bacterium
Lineage: Bacteria
Description: partial 16S ribosomal RNA
Rfam family: Bacterial small subunit ribosomal RNA
Source: RNAcentral